GACACGAUACGGAGGUACAGCGAUAGGA
This 28-nucleotide non-coding RNA is filed under the name Bombyx mori (domestic silkworm). Lineage: Eukaryota; Metazoa; Arthropoda; Insecta; Lepidoptera; Bombycidae. The record is from RNAcentral.